UAGGGAAUCUUCGGCAAUGGACGGAAGUCUGACCGAGCAACGCCGCGUGAGUGAAGAAGGUUUUCGGAUCGUAAAGCUCUGUUAUUAGAGAAGAACGUUGGUAGGAGUGGAAAAUCUACCAAGUGACGGUAACUAACCAGAAAGGGACGGCUAACUACGUGCCAGCAGCCGCGGUAAUACGUAGGUCCCGAGCGUUGUCCGGAUUUAUUGGGCGUAAAGCGAGCGCAGGCGGUUCUUUAAGUCUGAAGUUAAAGGCAGUGGCUUAACCAUUGUACGCUUUGGAAACUGGAGGACUUGAGUGCAGAAGGGGAGAGUGGAAUUCCAUGUGUAGCGGUGAAAUGCGUAGAUAUAUGGAGGAACACCGGUGGCGAAAGCGGCUCUCUGGUCUGUAACUGACGCUGAGGCUCGAAAGCGUGGGGAGCAAACAGGAUUAGAUACCCUGGUAGUCCACGCCGUAAACGAUGAGUGCUAGGUGUUAGGCCCUUUCCGGGGCUUAGUGCCGCAGCUAACGCAUUAAGCACUCCGCCUGGGGAGUACGACCGCAAGGUUG
This 550-nucleotide ribosomal RNA is filed under the name uncultured bacterium. Its description in RNAcentral is "bacterial SSU rRNA". It matches the Rfam family "Bacterial small subunit ribosomal RNA", at positions 355 to 896 of the family's 1533-position model. The record is from RNAcentral.